RNAcentral lists this ribosomal RNA (120 nucleotides) under uncultured bacterium. Its description in RNAcentral is "partial 16S ribosomal RNA". It matches the Rfam family "Bacterial small subunit ribosomal RNA", at positions 215 to 334 of the family's 1533-position model. The record is from RNAcentral.
UCGCAUCGGGACGGGCCCGCGGCCCAUUAGCUUGUUGGUGAGGUAACGGCUCACCAAGGCGACGAUGGGUAGCUGGUCUGAGAGGACGAUCAGCCACACUGGGACUGAGACACGGCCCAG